CCCUGGGAGAACCUACAUAGAUUUUCUCCGCUGGGCAAUGGAAAUGCUACUUUGCGCGGAUGCAGUAGAGCUCUCUCUGUCUCCGUCUGUUGGGUGCUGCCUAGGACGCGGUAACAGAGGGAACAGAAGUUCGUUCCUCACGGUUUGGAGGCUGGGAAAUCCAGCAUCUACCAGCAUCCCAUGACAGAAGAGCAAGAGAAUCUCAACAGUGCUGUGGUCUCCUUUCACCUCCUUCCACUUCACUGGUUUCUGUUAGGUGCCCCAGGGAGAGAAAGGCAGUUUUCCACCUAGACACAGACUCAGAAAGUAUCACACUGCUGAUGACAGAUGGCACAAGAAUCCUAAACCCAGCAAUCCAGCUCUAUCCAGAUCCCAAGGGGAUAUGGCUAAAAGUAACUGGAUUAGACAGGAGAGGGAUUUGUACACUAAGUAGU
This 434-nucleotide long non-coding RNA is filed under the name Oryctolagus cuniculus (rabbit). RNAcentral describes it as "lncRNA (ENSOCUG00000035220.1)". The record is from RNAcentral. Lineage: Eukaryota; Metazoa; Chordata; Mammalia; Lagomorpha; Leporidae.